This 75-nucleotide transfer RNA is filed under the name Alphaproteobacteria bacterium. RNAcentral's name for it is "tRNA-Gly". It matches the Rfam family "tRNA". Rfam says of the family: Transfer RNA (tRNA) molecules are approximately 80 nucleotides in length. Lineage: Bacteria; Pseudomonadati; Pseudomonadota; Alphaproteobacteria. The record is from RNAcentral.
GCGUCCGUCGUCCAACGGCAGGGCCUCACGCUUCCAACGUGAAGAUGACUGGUUCGAAUCCAGCCGGACGCUCCA